This 253-nucleotide ribosomal RNA is filed under the name uncultured bacterium. Its description in RNAcentral is "partial 16S ribosomal RNA". It matches the Rfam family "Bacterial small subunit ribosomal RNA", at positions 524 to 776 of the family's 1533-position model. The record is from RNAcentral.
UACGUAGGGUGCGAGCGUUAAUCGGAAUUACUGGGCGUAAAGCGUGCGCAGGCGGUUUUGUAAGUCAGAUGUGAAAUCCCCGGGCUCAACCUGGGAACUGCAUUUGAGACUGCAAGGCUAGAGUGUGGCAGAGGGGGGUGGAAUUCCACGUGUAGCAGUGAAAUGCGUAGAGAUGUGGAGGAACACCGAUGGCGAAGGCAACCCCCUGGGCCAAUACUGACGCUCAUGCACGAAAGCGUGGGGAGCAAACAGU